AGCGAACGUUAGCGGCACGCCUAACACAUGCAAGUCGCACGAGAACAGGGGCAACCCUUAGUAAAGUGGCGCACGGGUGCGUAACACGUAGAUAACCUGCCCUUUGGAGGGGGAUAACGUUCCGAAGGAGCGCUAAUACCGCAUACAGCAAGAGCCGGUUCGCCGGUUUUUGGUCGAAAGGUAGGGAGUCCGCAAGGACCUACCGCCAGAGGAGGGGUCGUGCGGCCCACUCAGCUAGUUGG
This 242-nucleotide ribosomal RNA is filed under the name uncultured bacterium. RNAcentral's name for it is "partial 16S ribosomal RNA". It matches the Rfam family "Bacterial small subunit ribosomal RNA", at positions 29 to 252 of the family's 1533-position model. The record is from RNAcentral.